UAAGGAAUAUUGCACAAUGGGCGAAAGCCUGAUGCAGCGACGCCGCGUGGGUGAAGAAGGUUUUCGGAUCGUAAAACCCUUUUCUGUGUGACGAGAACGGACGGUAGCACAGGAAUAAGUCUCGGCUAACUACGUGCCAGCAGCCGCGGUAAAACGUAGGAGACAAACGUUAUCCGGAGUUACUGGGCGUAAAGGGCGUGCAGGCGGCAAUCUAAGUCUGGCGUGAAAUAUCCCGGCUCAACCGGGGAAGUCGUCGGAUACUGGGCAGCUAGAGGACGGUAGAGGCGUGUGGAAUUCCGGGUGUAGUGGUGAAAUGCGUAGAGAUCCGGAGGAACACCAGUGGCGAAGGCGACACGCUGGGCCGUACCUGACGCUAAGACGCGACAGCAUGGGGAGCAAACAGGAUUAGAUACCCCGGUAGUCCCUGAGCGGGCUGGCAAGGCGCAU
RNAcentral lists this ribosomal RNA (447 nucleotides) under uncultured bacterium. RNAcentral's name for it is "bacterial SSU rRNA". It matches the Rfam family "Bacterial small subunit ribosomal RNA", at positions 355 to 825 of the family's 1533-position model. The record is from RNAcentral.